Molecule: transfer RNA, 73 nt
Filed under: Solirubrobacterales bacterium 70-9
Lineage: Bacteria; Bacillati; Actinomycetota; Thermoleophilia; Solirubrobacterales
Also listed under: 3 other names
Description: tRNA-Thr
Rfam family: tRNA
About the family: Transfer RNA (tRNA) molecules are approximately 80 nucleotides in length.
Source: RNAcentral
GCCGGCGUAGCUCAGUUGGUAGAGCACUUCAUUCGUAAUGAAGGGGUCCUCGGUUCAAGUCCGAGCGUCGGCU